UACGGAGGGUGCAAGCGUUAUCCGGAUUCACUGGGUUUAAAGGGUGCGUAGGUGGGCAGUUAAGUCAGAGGUGAAAUCUCCGGGCUUAACCCGGAAACUGCCAUUGAUACUAUCUGUCUUGAAUAUCGUGGAGGUAAGCGGAAUAUGUCAUGUAGCGGUGAAAUGCUUAGAUAUGACAUAGAACACCAAUUGCGAAGGCAGCUUACUACCCGAAUAUUGACACUGAGGCACGAAAGCGUGGGGAUCAAACAGG
RNAcentral lists this ribosomal RNA (253 nucleotides) under uncultured bacterium. Its description in RNAcentral is "partial 16S ribosomal RNA". It matches the Rfam family "Bacterial small subunit ribosomal RNA", at positions 524 to 776 of the family's 1533-position model. The record is from RNAcentral.